This 504-nucleotide ribosomal RNA is filed under the name uncultured bacterium. Its description in RNAcentral is "partial 16S ribosomal RNA". It matches the Rfam family "Bacterial small subunit ribosomal RNA", at positions 28 to 507 of the family's 1533-position model. The record is from RNAcentral.
GACGAACGCUGACGGCGUGCUUAACACAUGCAAGUCGAACGGUGAAGCGCUUGCCUUUUUGGUGGGUGUGAUGAGGGGGGAACGGGGGGGGUACAAGGGAGGAACCUGCCCUCCUCCUCCGGAUUAACCCAUGAAAGGGGGGGCAAAUAGGGGGAAUUCGGGGCCUGUGGCAGGGCGGGUUGGGGAAGGUUGGGGCCUUGGGGGGUUUUGGGGGGGGGAGGGGCUCGCGGCCUAUCGGCUGGUGGGGGGGGGGUUGGCCUACCAAGGCGGUGACGGGUAGCCGGCCUGAGAGGGUGGACGGCCACACUGGGACUGAGACACGGCCCAGACUCCUGCGGGAGGCAGCAGUGGGGAAUAUUGCACAAUGGGCGCAAGCCUGAUGCAGCGACGCCGCGUGAGGGAUGGAGGCCUUCGGGCUGUGAACCUCUUUCGCCAGUGAAGCAGGCCUGCUCCUGUGUGGGUGGGUUGACGGUAGCUGGAUAAGAAGCGCCGGCUAACUACGUG